RNAcentral lists this long non-coding RNA (23183 nucleotides) under Heterocephalus glaber (naked mole-rat). Its description in RNAcentral is "lncRNA (ENSHGLG00000049947.1)". Lineage: Eukaryota; Metazoa; Chordata; Mammalia; Rodentia; Bathyergidae. The record is from RNAcentral.
AAGGACUUCCAACCGUACAGGUUACUGCUUGGGAGGACCAUGUCAUCACCGCAGGCUUUACUUUGUUUUAACAAAAAGGUCACUGUCUGUUUUCAUUGUCUGGCACCUCUGAGAAGAGUAGCAGAAAAAAGUUAAAGAAUAACUCAACUUUUUCACCCUGUGCCUGUGCCAAGCUGUUACGCACACAGUGCCACAGAGACAGAGGAAACAAAGUCAAGCGCAAAGAUGGCUGACGUGUCUCCACAGCAACCUCAGCGGCUCCAGCGCUGAGAUUUGAGGACUGGGAUCGGUUUGCGAUUCUCUAUAACAAAUUUAAAAAGUGCUAUCUGAACUUCCAGUUUCUAGCUUGACCUGUGAAGAAUCUGAAAGUCAUCACUCCCUGACUUCACAAGAGAAAAGGGUUUCUGGCUGGAGAGAAUCACUGAGAAUCAGGUGCCAGAGAAGGUUUCCUAAAGGGGAAGAAUUUAAGAGGAGUCUUGCAAGAUGAGUAGGUUUUGCCAGAAGAGGACAGAGAAUAUUAGGGGCUGAAAGAAACUGCCGAGAAAAGGGACAGGAGCUAUCAAUCAAGCAGAUGCUUCUCCCAGAGUCCCACCAGACUGUAGGCAUGACUGCUGUGCCUGUCCCAGAUGACCCCAGCUCCUCCAAGAGAUAUCUGCCUUGGCCACAGCAGACUCAAAGUUCGGACCAAUUCUGGAUGUCUCCACUCUGCUGCCACUCCUGAUGAUCCUGCCAUGUAACAUCCAGGGAGAAACGGAGGGAUCAGAUUUCUAGACCCAGUUCCAAGCACCUGAAGCAAGUCAAACGCUGCCCCAACACCUACUGGUCUUGCAGAAUUAUCUGCCGCAAGGACAGCGCCUCGGUGAGCGGCCCUCUGAGCGGCCCUCGUAGGGAUGCGCCCGCUCUCCCUCCAGGUGCCACACCUGUUGGCAAGGUGCAGAGAGGAUCCCUCCAUGCGGAGUCACCCGGCGGCGGACGGGCGGAGGGGACGCGGGCGAGGCGAAGGAGCUGAGAACCGCACUUAGCAAUUAAACCCAGAGGAAGUUCUUCGGCGUGGAUUCACAAGAACUGCUAUUUAACGCUCCGUUUACUUUCUCUAUCUCCUACACGGUUACCUCACUUCCGAUUAAAUUAAUGAUCCCGAAUUAGCCGCGAGAGGAGCCCGCGGGUCGUCUACCACGGCCACAGCGGAAUAGUUCAAAGCCCACAGCAGAUUUCCGGACGUGCAGAAACAGACAGGAGGGAGGGCCGGUGGUCGCUGGCUCUCCCGAGCAGGAAAGUGGCGGAGCAGUACAGGACCUGUUUCACUGCAGGGGGAUCCAAAAACAAGCCCGUGGAGCAGCAGCCAGACCAACAGCAGCCGCAGGACAUUGUUUCUCUCCCUCUGUGCCCCCGUCCCCACGCAACCCCAGAUCCAUUUACACUUUACAGAGCAUCGUGCAACAAGUCACCAGGGUGGUCCAUUCGUGCUGCGGAUUUGCCUGCCGUCCUUGGACCCCAGUCGCCUGCUCCACUGUCGCUGCAGGGAAGAGCAGCACAUGUCAGGUCACAGAACAGAAAGUGCUGGUGGACAUCUCUUCUUGCCCCAAGAUCUUCGUUGGAAGUCCUCCAGACUUGGUGUCUUAUUGAACUCGCCAGGAGGCAUAAUGUGUCACCAUUUUAUUGUGGGCCACCCUAAAGGAUGACACCCAGCUUCGGACACCUCCUGUUGGACAUCGUCCCCUGAGAGCCAAUGCUUUAACUCUCUCCCAUUGUCCGGAGUCUGUUUCCGACUGGUUUUGAGCUGGUGCGGGCUUAGUCAUUCAUGACCCGGACCCAGUUGAAUGUUGCUUGAUCACCUUUUGUCGCUUGCUGAACAGCACUUCCCUCUUGGGCUCUCGGGGAGUCUUUGCACCGACCCGCUAGAAACAAGGCACCUAUCCAUUCUUUCCAUCUUGGAGGUUGCCCACGGCCAUAUCCCGGGGUGACCUGGAGUAGAAGCAGUGGAGGAUAAAUUAAUUCAUCCUGCACAGACUUGUUUCAGCUAGUUCUAGCCUGUCUCUCGCCCCAGCUCCAGCUUUUAAAUAUGCCAGUGAUUGGUUUUGUGUAGGAAUGUGUGGAUUGUUGGAUUGGAAGAAUUCUCUCCCUGGAUUUCUAGUGUUUACAUAAGCAGAUAUUUAAAAAAUGUUCUAUCCCUGAUUUAAAUAGCAGGGGUUAUUUUUAAAAAGUUAUGGGCGCCUGAAGGGAUACAGAAUAAAAGCAUAAGUUUUGUUUUUUCUUUCUUACAAGUUGUAACGGAACCAAAAGGUGUAUGGUAAUGUUUUGUCAGGAAAAGGUCAAAACAGAAAGUUUGCAACAGAGACAAACUAGAAUAGAACAAGUGUGAAGAGAGGCUGACAAAUAUAUGCCCCUUGUUGGGAGUUCAGCCCGUGGAAUGUUAUGUAGGACACAAGGAAUGGAAGAGAUAUUUCAGUAACAUUUUGUUCUCUGUCAAAAACCUUCUGAAAUAUAAAUCUGCUGUGUAUUGGAGGAUGGAGACGGCAGUUGAUUCGAAUUGAAUGGCUUUCAUUUAACUAGAGUAUCCCACAGAAAGCAGUUCUUGUUCUGACAACUGUAUUUUUGCUUUCUUUGACCUAGCAAAAAUUGGAUUCCUGUUUACAUAUCUUGUAGGAUUGUUUUAUGGACAACGAUACAGGUCAAAUCCCAUCACAGUGGCCAGUGUUAUGGCAAACAGAAAUAUUUCUAAAUGAAAUACAAACAUUUCUAAGCCACAGCCGGAGUGUGCAGUAAUAAUAAGUUGGUAAUAUGAAGCCAUUUGCAACUAUAAAUAAUUCAGUUGUAGAUGUGCUUUAAAAAAAACUGUCUUAUUUUAAUUCUAGUCUCUUGCCGACGCACACAAUCAUACACUUGUAGCUCACCUAUUUGCCUAGUAGAGGAGCAACAGGAAUAUAUAUAAUCGUAGAAGUCAACUUUAUUUUGGUCCCUGGAACAGGUUACUUUUUCUCUUCUCCUCACGAUGGUUUCUGUAAUUGCCUCCAACUGCCAAACUUUGGUGAUUACCCACAAAUAUGAAUGGCUCUUUCUAAGGGUCUUGCCCCGUCAUCCAACCGAGCCCAAAGCUAGUAGCCAGAGUUAGUGCUGUAAGGAGCUGAGCUUCAAAAUUAAGGGUCCUUUGCAAGGGGUGGUCUGAUUUGAUUAUCCAUUGUGCACCCCCCCAGGAGAAAGGAGGUGCUUAUUCUUUCGGUUUUAAAUCCCUGGAUCAAAGCAAGACAUGCUCGUGCAAGAGUUCAAGGCAGCUGGGGAAUUUAGUGAGACCCUGUCUAAAAAAGGAGGGGGUGGAGAUAAAGUGUGAUGCUCCCCAGGUUCAGUCCUCAGUACUGCAAACAAGCAAACAGACAAACAGACCAUUCAUUCUGGCAUUGAUCCUGGCCUCAGAGUCCAGAAUCAGUGAGUUCAGUCUUAAUUUUUAGCAUUAACUAUUUUUUGAAUUAGUGAACCUUGCUUUAUUGUUAUGCCUAUGAGAGGACAACUUUCUUUUUAUUUUUAUUAACUCAUGUUAAUUGUACACAUUCACUUGGGCAUUUCCAUGUUAAUUGUACACAUUCACUUGGGUUCCACUUGGGUAUUUCUAUCCAUGCAUAUAUCUUGCCUUGAUCAUUCCCACUUUUAAACACAGUAAGUCAGACACAGGAAGACAGGUGUCGGGUGUUUUCUUUCAUAUAUGGAGACUGGGAAAAAGAGAUCUGAAAGUAGAGAGGGAUCUAUUAGGGAAUAGGAAGCGUUAACUAUUACUCCUGAACUACUCUCUAUAGUUUUUGAUUCAGUACACUCUGAGGUUCCCCCAGAUCCCUUAUGGACUAAAAUACAGAAUAUCCAUUUUUUUAAUGGGAGGGUCUAACUAUGUUCCCCUGGCUAGUCUCAAACUCCUGGGCUCAAGUGAUCCUCCUGUUUCAGCCUUGCAAGCAAGUGGGAGUACAGGGGCAUGACGCCAUGCCUGGCUAUAAAUACAGCUAUUGUAACACAGCAGAAUUGAUGAUCAAGAGAGAGCUCUAGAAAUAAAGGCCCCCUAGGUUUUAACCUUCUAUCUUCAAAGUUCUUGUCUGCAUGCCUUAUAUUUUAUUUCCUCUCUGUUUAUACUAAUUUAUACUUGUGUUUAUUGUUUUCUUACUUAAAAACUACUUGAAAAAAAUUCAUAGCCCUUACAAAUUUGAAAGCAUCUCAACCUAUUCAUCCUUCUUACCUUGGCCAUCUUUUGUCAUCGCUAGGCCACUUCUUCCCUUCCUACUUCUCUUCUGGGAUUUCACUGCUUAGCAGUUCCAGUGUAUGAUUCUGGAUAUGAUGGUUUGAGCUUCCUGACCAACGUCUCUUUGCAGCUGAGUCUAUUCCCUGUGCUCAAAGCUGUUGGCAUAUUCCAUUCACAGCUCCUACUCAAAUUGAAACUUGUUGCACUCAGAUCAGGCCUUAGCACUAUUAAUUUCUUCCUCUCUAUUUCUCGAUCCAUUGUUAUUUCCCAGUGACUAAAAUCUGCUUGUCACUAAGAACUUCAUUUUGAUGUCACUUACUAAAGACCUCUUGGAUUUUUCUACUCUCCUGAUACGCUUCACAGCUUCACGCUACAACGACCAUCAACAGGUCUUUGACAAAUUAGUUGUCCCUACAUGUGAUUUACAAUAUUACACUGGCUGUUUAAAAAUUAUUAAACUUCUCUCUGUGUACUUUGCUGUGGGUCAAGAACUUUACUUGUUUUGCCAUCCAACACAGAAGUUAAUCACAAACGGGUCCUCUAAACCAGAUAAUUAAAAAUAGAGCAAAGUUUCUGAACUAGGCAUUUGGCACAAAAGUUCUCACUUCCAUCUGUGCGUGGUUAGGAAAAUAUUUCAUGAUAUUUAAAUAGCAUUAGCUUUGCUCUCUUGUGUGAGAGUGUCUGUGAGUCUGUGUGUAAUUCAUUGCUCUGGAGGCUUAUUUGACUGUUAGCUAAUCUUAUGUUUUUUUAAAGUCACUGGCAAGGAAACAGGAAAGCAAAUCCAGGUGUUUUGUGCCUGCUUUCUUUAUUUGCUAGCUUCUGUGAAGGAACAGUGGUCCGCUCUGGCUUUUCUCUUUAACUCAUAGUUUUCCUCCUACAUGUGGUUCAGAAAAUGAAAGAGCAUACAUUUUGAUUUAUAAAUCUUUGUGUGUUUUAAUUCUCCACAUACAAGUCACCUUUGCUAAAGGCUUUUUAGGAGCUAUUCUGAUAGACGCAAAAUGCUGAUGAAUCUGUUUCAAUUUGGAAUGUGUCAGAUUAGGAUUUUUUUGCUCUCUGGAAAGGGGAUUGAUGCCUAGAAUGUACAGCAGACUCAUAAACACUUUGUGACUUAAACACAGACAUGUGAGUGACUGGAUUGAAGAGGAAUUUAAUCCUUCAACUUCGACUGUGCUUUGUUCUCAUAAGUAAUCAGUAUCUCCUAAAAUAUAUUCACCAGUUCUGUAGCUGUGAUUAGAUUUUAAAAGUGCACUGUCUGUUUAUAAGGUUUAAAUUGCUAAAUAAUACAAAGGUUAUACCUUUCUGGUAUUUUUCUGUUGCAAUCAUCCCUUUAUUCCUGGAAAACUCUUAUUUUAAGGUUGGUUUCUUUUUUCCAGGAGAGUUGUUGUAUUAAAUAACACUAAUGCCCCGUAAAUAUACUAAAGAUUAGGAAUUAUUUUUAAAAAAUGUCUUUCAUACCUCCAGCUCUGAAGUGUAUAUAUGUAUGUAUUUCUCAGAGUUGUUAGUUUGCUUAUGUUUCUAGAAACUAGAGAGUAGGCAUAUUCCUAAUACUAUAAUAAUAAAAUUAAACACUGAAGUCAAAAGCAGAGGAUUGAUCAUGCUCAUAUUAAUUGAAAUUAAGAAAGGAGAAGUAGCUUCAAUCAUUUUCAUUAGCAGUGGUGGGUUCUUGUGUUUAGCUCUCCAUGCUGGUUUGAUUAUUUAGGCAGUUUGUCAUUCAUGAAAUUUAAAAUCAGAAGGAACCUUAAACAUUUUUUUGUCCAACUUCCUCAUUUUACAUUCCAGUUAAUUCUGUUCAUUUCUGUGUGCAAAGCAGUGGGCUAGGAGGGAGCAAUAAAGUUGACUUAAGUUGUGACUCAUGGCUUCCGACAAAUUAAUCUUUGAUUUUCUUUUCUGUAUUAUUCAAGGGACAACUUUUAACAAGGCAUAAGUGAAUUUUGCCAAUUGUUAUUCUUGGUCAGUGUAAGAAAUUAGGGAUGAAUGUAUUUUGUGAGCUCUGGUGAAUGAAAGAUGUCUUUAUACUUCAGGGUCCUGCUGAACUGUAGACCAUCCCAAGACAGAAUUCUGGUCUUCUCUUCUACAAGACAACCAGCACUGCUAAUAUUAAAGAGACUCCCCCCAAAUGUGCCCGAUAUUCAUGUUCUUCACACUUUUGCUGUGGAACCCUUACAGUGUUUCUUCCGUUUAUUUGGGCACCUCUGAUACUGACAUCUGGUAUUUCACUUACAAGAGCCGAAUUUCAUGAUUGAUAUUCUUAUCCCAUAAAUCAUUGUUAGUAAAUAUUAUUUACUAGACUUGUGAUCGAAAACACAACAUAUAGUGUACACACUCAAGAAUGGUCACAGUGCAGAGAAGCUGCUGGUCUUUUAAUAAGAAUGACGCCCCCAGCUGACAUGCUGGGGACUGAGGAUGUGUCAGCCACUAGGUGUGAUCACCUAAUCCUCACCGCUAACCAGAUAGUUCCUUAUUAUCUCUAGCUAAAAGAUAAGUAACUGGGUUAGUAGUUUGCUCAAGGUCACAGAGCUGGUAAAUGGUAAGAUGGGGAUUUAACACCUGCCAUUUUAACCCCAGCCCCUCCGCUCAGAAGGAAUAUAAAAUUUAUUACUUACCACCUGGUGCCAUGGUGAGACUUGCAAAAUUAUUUUCAAAAACUUUUUUUUUUUUUGGUACUGGGGAUCGAACUCAGGUCCUUGCACUUGUGCAGCAGCCGUUGAAACCACUGAGCUAAAUUCCCAGCCCUACAAAUUUUUAAUAAGUGAAGAGGUAUUCAUUUUUUGGUUGCAAAUUGAACUCUUGCAUAAGUUUUUCUAAGGACUAUGAUUUGGUAGGAGGAGGUUCCAAUUUAGUCCAGUCUUAGCUGUUUGAGACUUAGAACUAUGUUAUGUUUAAAUUACUUCCAUAUUCUUACAAAAAUAUAAUUAAUUUAUAAAGAUGAAGAAGAACUACAUCUAGCUAAAUGUAAAAGUGUUUAUAAACUGGAUGCAGUAGUGCAUGCCUCUAAUCCCGGCACUCUGGGAGGCUGAGAUAGAAGAAUCUCAAGCUCCAGCCCAGUCUGAGCAUUUAGUGAGACCCUGUCUUAAAACUUAAAAAAAGGAGGGUAGGGGCGGGAUGUGGUUCAGUGUGAAGGUACCAAGUUUAAUCCAUAGUACUGCAAAAAACCAAAACAAAACAAAGCCUUAUAAAGUCUUUUGUGUGUAAAUUUUUUUUUGUAUUAAAUUCUUUUAUUGGUACAUUGUAGGUAUACAACACAAUUACAUUUCUCAUUGGGAAUUGUACCUUUAUAUAAUGCAUCUUGGUUCUUAUUUUUUCCCCAUUCCUAGCCCUCCCUUCACGCCCUCCACCCUUCCCUAUUUACAAUUUUGUGUGUAAAUUUAUAUAGUCAUUUCCAUAAUCACGUUUACAUAUGUAUGUUAUAGUUACAUGUAUUUGUAUGUGUAAAUAUAGUAUGCACCCUUUAUAGAACUGAUGUUGAGGAACUCUAAGGAACCAGCUAUAUGAUUUGGAGUUUUAUCAAAUGGAGUGAAAUUUUCAAUGAUUAUGAUUUGGUCUGUAAAAAUAGGAAUAAUGAGAUCAAAGUGUAUAUGUCUACUUUUAUCUUCUAUCUCUUGUCUUUUUUGCUUAGAAACAAAUUUAUGUCGAAACAGUGUACCUAUGAACCUUCAUAUAUGAAAAAAAGAGCUACACAAGACACUUUGUUGCAGUUUGUCCAGGGUCUCAAAACAUGCUGUAAAAACUUGGAAACUGGAAGCAUCUUGGCAAAUGUAGCAUCAGCGUGUCACUGAUUUCGAAGCUUCUGUUGAGUAUUCUAAGUAGGUUCUGUGACAGCUCUUACUAGAGGAAUUGGUACCAGCUAAGAAAAUGUACAGUUUAAUACUUUAGAGCAAAUAAUUGCUUAGGAUGCCUUAAAUAGCACAGGAAAUGUGUAGAGUGUUUACUUGACAUUUGCUCUAUCGAACACUAAUACUGAAACAGAUUCUUCGACCACAGAGAAUGCUGGUGUAGGUGGGGUGGGGGUGGACGGGAGAAAGAGGCAGAGAAAAAACAGCCAACACGAACAGAUAAAAAGUAAAUGGCAAAUUAGUUUUUGUUUUUUUUUCACUAUAUGGAGAUACCAGGAAAAUAAAAGCCCACUUGUUUGAUCCAGUGGUUUUGGAGUGUGGUAGAAAAAAGCAAAGGACAUAGAACUCUCUAGGAUUAGGUUUCUCCCUUGAAAGGUUGUCUUCACCUGGCUUUCAAAAGCCCUGUAGCCCCUGGGUGACCUGGUUUGUUUUUUAAAUCUUGAAAGCAAGAGGAAUGACCUCCCUUAAAAAAAAAAAAAAGAAGAAGGAGAAGGAGAAGGAGAGGAAAUUCCUCUUUUUAUCUGUUUAAUCUGCACAUGCUUGUGCACUUUUUUUUUAAAUGACAGCUCUGGCGCCCUCAUUUCUCAGUGUGGCUCAGUAUUUCUUGAGUUUUUCCCCCAAAUGCUUCUUGCUCUUUAGUGUUCUCGUCUCACUUCGCUGGCACUGUUCAAGUGGGACUUAUCUUACAAUGGGGUCUGGGUCAGUUUAGUGUAGCUCAGAAGUGCAGAGCAUUUUUUUUUUUUUUUUUGCACAAACUGGUUACAAAGCACUGUGACUCGGUUGCAUUUAAUAAGAAAAAGUAGGGGAUAGUUUAGGAACCUGAGCCCUUUUCCAUUCAUAGGUUUGCCUCAACUCUGCAGUGUCUUUAAGGGAAUUUUAAAUGCAUCUGGUAAAAGCCAAUAGGCAAGCACACAGGAUGGGCUCAGGAAUGUGGAACUGUGCAAUGUUAAUGAAAUCUGUUAGAAGCAUCCUCUUUUCUGUCUCCUCAACAGGAGCUGGUUUUAAAUACUCAAGGGAAUUUUGUAAACGAUGAUCCAAAGUCAGAACUUCCCCCUGCAGGUUAGCCCAGCGUCUACAACGCUCAGCAGAGGAAACGCUGUAUUUAUGGCUUUUCCCCGGAGUUGUGAUUUGACCUUGAAUAAAUCGUGUUCAACUUCUCGAUGCUUCAGUUAGCCUUUGAAAGAUAUGUGUGGUUGUGGAUGGCCUGUGGGAAGGCAGUAACUGAAGUUCACAACAGAAGGGGGACUUCAAGGAAAAUUUUAUUUGGAAAGAGCUGUGGGUAUGAAAGGAACCCUUAUGCAGGGGGCUAUUGGUGAACAAUCUUGCCAUGUGUGGCUCCUAAGUAAGGCAGGGGGUUUUCUUUUAACAAUCUUACUAUAUUUUAUAGAAUUAAAAUUUACAUAUAGAUUGUUUUAUAUUAUGUUAUGUUUACUAUAUAUUUUUAUUGGUUUAUCCUUUAACUCCAGAAAGAUUUGUGUUCAUACAUCUUCUACCUGUAAUGGGAUUUUUAUUUAUAAUGUUACAGUUUAAAUUGUAAUCAAGCAGUAACACAUUUUGUUUAAUAUGCAAAGACCUUUAAUUUUAUUUUGCAGAAGAAAGUCUAAGCCAGUUGUUUAAAAAGUUGCCUUGGAGAAGAUCUAAGUGGUUUUUCAUUCAUUUGGAGAGAGAGGGAGGAAAGUCAUCAGUAUUUAUUGAGCACCUACCCCGUGCCAGAUACAUUGCUACUAUGUGCCACGUGUAUAUCCUGUGUGAUUUAUAUUCAUAGUGUCUUCCUUUUUAAGUGUAUCAGGGCUCAGUUAGGAGGGCCAGAAUCCAUAGGAGAAAAUGAAAUAUACCUAUUGUUAUGGAUAAUUAAAAAGAGGACUUUUUAGUUAGUAGCACUCAAAGCUCCAUAUCAUAAUGUAGGGCUGUGAGUUCCCCAUAAACCAAUUGCGGGUAGGUCCUCCAGCUCUGAGACCUCCCAGUGGUUGAGCGGGAUUGCAACACAGGGCUAAACCACAUCUCCCUGGUUAAGUCAUUUCAGUUAUUGCCUCAUUUAAGUUGCAUUGUUUUAAAAAGGAUGUAGGCACUCCAAGUUGCAGUGCCUCAAAUUUGAGCAAAAGAAUACAGACUUUGAAUGUAUUCCGAGCUUGGCUCUGGAGUCCUGGCUGCAGUAAAUACAAAAGCCAACAGCUCCAAGUUUAGAUGAGAAAACAUUUCAAAGAAAGCCAGAGAAGGCUUAUAUAUUUAACACAAUAUCCAUGACUCACUUUCUCUUUGCUCUGUCUGUCCAGCCGUUAUUCAUUCACUGCUAACCCCACAGGAAGGCUCCUUUUGAAGUUCCCUUUGGCUGCUUUGCAAGCCAUAUAAAUAUACACCUUAGGAGAAUAAGGGUGAGGGAAAAGAGACAGAGGUCACCAUUUUUAAUCCUGGUGCUGCCGAUAACAAACUAUGUGACCAGAUACUUAGACAGCAAGGGAGGAUGUUUUUAAAAUUCGUUCUCAGCUGCCAGGAGGCAGUUAUCAUUCUGUAAAAGGGCUUGUUUUGGGGUUUCUCAGAAGUCUGUAGAGUUUGGGUUGUGGAGGUUCCUGCAGGACUUUCUUGGUGGAUCAGCCUUAACAGGUGCGUAGAAGUAGCUCUGGGGGUGCAACAACACCUUCACAACCCUUAGCAGUUAUGCAUGUUGAAAUGUCACACUGUACUCCACCAAUAUGUGCAAUUACUGUGAGUCAGUUAAAAAUAAAACUAUAUUUUACAAAAGGACCCUUAGAGGUUAGGGCUAGACUGUCAGAAGAACUGAAAGGAAUAAAGUUUGUGUAAUGGGGAAGCAGAUACCAAGCUAUUCAGAAGCUACCACCCACACUUAGAAGGUUGUGUCUGGGUGAUGGGGUGUAGCUGAGUGUUCUGGAAGUGUGGGUCACACUUGUGGUUUGAAUGCCAGCCCCCGCACUGACCUUCUUGGCCAGCUCUUUGUGCCACAGUCUCUUCCUCUGCAGACUGAGAAGAUCAUCAACACUCAGGCAAAAUGAGUCAGUGUAUGUACCAGUCCUAGAAGAGCACUGGGCAGCUAGAAAGUGCUAUCGACGCUACUACUGUCAUCACGUCUCUCUUCUUGGGUGUUUUCUAAUUUGUGUUGCAUUUAGGGUGGGUUACCAGGGUGAUGGUGGGGGUUGGGAUGGUGAGAGGGAGAUCUAGGGCUGUAGAGAGUGUGGCAGAGCCUGGUUCCAAGUGCUGUUUAUUUCUGAUCACCCGGCUCUGCUCACACAGCGCCAGAUCCCUCCCUUCACCUGUCCAUAUCCUACCUCACUGUCCAUAGGCAGCAUGAGCCUCUUUGUCUCUAGGGUACAAAGGUUUCCCCAGCUCCUGCAGCCCAGGUGAACCUCCCUCCCCACUGCCCUCAGCUCCCAGGUAUCUGUCUGCACAGCUCCUUUGACCAUAUCAUGCAGUGAUCCAUCUUGUCGCUGAGAUGUCUUGAUUCCCGGGUCCUCUCCUUGUGACUGGAGACCUUCACCUCCUCUCAACAUCCAGGGUGGUGUGGCAGGGAAGGGACCUGCCACCUUCUCCAGCUCUCUCUCUGUCCUGAGCCCAGCAUGCUCGAGAUUUUUGAUGUCUGGAAGCUCAGAACCUUCUCAUGCAAGAUGAGGGUCUAGACAAAAUGAUCUCUGCAUCUGUUCUUGUAGAUUUCUGGUGUUGGAGUACUAGGUGGUGGCGAAAUCCAUGUCAGAUGGAUGAAUGAAUGAAGUACAAUCCCAAGGUGCUCAGUUAAAUUACACUUGUGCUCACUAGCUUAUCUGCUUGGUGAAGGGAGGAAAUGGUCUCAGUGACGAAUUUUUCACUUUUAGUGCACAGAAAUCUUGUUUGUUUUGACACUUUUGGAGUGUGAAUUCUUGUCCACAUUGAGUUCAUAUUUAUAUUAGUAAGUUGUCUAUAAAGAAAUUAUUUUUGUGCUAAAGAUAAUAUAAAUAAUGACACAGCUAGUAAAUGUGUUUUUAAGCACAUUAGAAGUCUUUGCAUGCAGUUUAUUGUGUAUAUUAUAGUACAAAAUUAUGUAAAAUACAAUUAUAUAAGCUCUUUUUGUUCAUGAAAUAAUUUGAUCAUUUAAAAAUUCUUCUAUGAGUACUUAAGAGAUUUAAAACUAUCUCCUCUUAAAACUUUGUAACUUGUAGCUGUCUUCCUAUUUGUAUCAGGUGCCUUCUCUGAACCCUAUUUACUCAGUAUAUACUAUUAUUUCUUGUAUGUUCAAAUAAUUGGAAGAGAUGCCGGUUGAAGUCUUCAACAUCAAAUCCCAAUUUGGAAUUAUUUGUGUUUUAUUUAUUCUUUUUUUUUUCUAAUAACAGUAUCUGACCCCUAAAUAAUGCUCUUUUAUCAUAUAUAUAUAUAUAUAUAUAUAUAUAUAUAUAUUUUUUUUUUUUUGGUACCAGGGAUCGAACUCAGGUCCUUGUGCUUGCGCAACAGGCGGCAAAACCACUGAGCUAAAUCCCCAGCCCUCUUUUAUCAUAUUUAAUGCAUUUCUUUGCAUUAUAUUUGCUGACAUUUGCAAGUUUUAAACAAUGAGGAAAGAUUUUGAACAUAAUGAUCUUAAUUUACUUGCUUAACUUACUAGGGAGAUCACUUACAACCUUCUUUGUACAUACUGUAACCUCAGAGCAGUGACCUCAGAAUCAAGAAGGGUUUGAGGUGCUAAGUUACUGGUUUUUAAAACUGUUAUCUCUUUUUGGAAAAUGAUAGUUUUUAUAAGAUUUGUCAUACUAGUUUAGACUAAGUAGUGAGUGCGUUUGGUGUCUAAUUAGGCUCCAGAUGGCUUAAACUCUUUGAAGAGCCACCUGAAGCAGGACCCUGUUAAGAAAUUAUUCCAUGUCCCACAUAAUCAUGUUCAAGAGGCCUUAGUAAUUUGUGUUUAAAAAUGAUCACUGGGGGCCGGGGAUUUAGCUCAGUGGUUUCGAUGCCUGCUGCGCAAGCACAAGGACCCAAGUUCGAUCCCCAGUACCAAAAAGAUAAUUGGCAUGGUCCCCAAAGAGUUCUACCUUAGUGUUUUAAUUCAGCAUUGUUACUAAGGUACAUAUUCGAAUCUCAAUAUUAUUGGUCAGAACCGGGGCCUCGUAGCUUUUUAACAUUCACAGAGUAUAGGAAGCACCUCCUACGGUGCCAUGUUAAUAUGGCGACCGAGUUCAGGAUUGUGACCAGGAGGAAGAGGAAUGUGGGUAAUACUGGGGAGGGAAACUGGCAAACUUGUGGGCCACAGAAAUAUCAGUCCCUCUGUUUAGCAAAUAUUUACCAACCACCUCUUCAUACGAUUUGCUGUUUGUGUGUUUGGAUCUGAAAGUCUUAGAAGAUCUAUAUUCAGUCUUUUCUCUUAGAUGUACUUGGGCUUGCUUAAAUGCUCCCUUUCCCCUCUUUUUUCUUUUAAAAUGAUGCAGGAAAAUGUUGGAGUAAAUGCUGUCAACUUGGGUAGAGCUGGUUUUCCCCCUUAUCUGGGCAUAAAUCAGUAUUACAGGAGAGAAUGAGGAAGUAGUAGGUUCUGGCUAAAUAUGCACCAGUGCCAGGGAUUGUUGACCUCACUGAUUCCAGGAAGGGAAAAAAGAGUUUAAAAUAAGUUAUUUCAACCAAGAUGAUUUUCUAAAUUUGGUUUCUGAUGUGAUAACUGGGUGGAGCUACAUUUGUUUCACCUCAACCAGUUUACCCUAACUUGACUGGGGGAGAGUUUCUGAAACCUCCAUCUCUUUAGCAGUGAGUCAUCUCCAUGCUGCUGAGACAUUUUCUAGCCUUUAUUGCUGUGUGUAGUUCAAGCUUUUCUCUGGAUGUUUUGACUCCUUAAGAAACUCGCAAUAACAAAUUAACAAUCACACUCCUCUGGAAUGAAAACAUGCAGUAGUGGAGUAAUAAAUAGCAGUUUUGGAAGCCUGAAUAAACACAAAACUCAGCUCCUGGACUGGAGAAGGCUCUAGAGGACUCCAGUGUCCGACAGAUCCAAGCAAGAACACCGUUUAUAUCAAAGAGACAUGAGUGUAUUUUUUCAUUGUAUUUUCUGACAGAUUGUAUUGUAAAACCAUAUAGCCACUUUCAUUCUCUAAAAUUUAAGUUAUUUUUAGUCAUCCUACCUGCCUGAUCUCCAAUGAAUUUCUUUUUCUAGUACUGGGGAUUGAACCCAGGGCCUUCACAUUGAGCUAUAUCUUCUGCCCCCUUUAGUUUUUAUUUUUGAGACAGGAUCUUGCUAAGUUACUCAGGCUGGGUUUGAACUUUUGAUUCUCCUGCCUCAGCCUCCCAGAGUGCUGGGAUCACAGGCAUGCACUACUCUGCCUAGUUCUAAGUGGACCAUAAUGCAGUUAAUAGGGUAGACAUUAAAAUAAGGUGCAGCAUUUCUUUGGGGAACUCGUGUUGGUCUGGGCUGCUUCACUUUCUCUGAUGAAACCAGGAAUAGUAACAAGGCAAUGCUGCCUGCCCACUGUGAUUCCCACACAGCCCCGUGCUGAGUGGCUGUCCCCACAGUCCAUGAACAGCCCAGGGCUGAGUUGUUGUCCCAUGGGAAUUUGUAGAUCACAACAAGGUCCUACACAAACAACUCUGGUGGCUACUUCUUCCCCAACCGUGGGGUUGCAAGCUCCGGGUGUGUAUCUAGAUGCUGUAGUGGAGAGUCCAUCCCCAGGGGUGGGUGAACUCUGAGUUGCAGUGGAGGCCAACAUCAUGAAAGAUCUGAUAGCUCCUUCCUUGCUAUACACAGUUCGAAGAAAAGUUGGACAUCCAUGGAAUCUGAAGAACUUGUGCUUUGAAAUUCCAGCUAAUGUCUAAAGAACUCUCCAAGAUUUCACGAAUUUUCUUUCAAUUUAUAAAUACUGAGGUAUUGGGGCUUAGUGACUUUUCUUUUCCUCUCCUUGCCCAUUCCAGUUCCUCAUGAAAUUUUCCCAGAUUUAGACAAGCUGCACCGUGAAGGGGACCACCAUUCACUCUGUGCCUAAGGCAGUGGAGUGAGUCCUUUCCUACCUGGCUGGAAAAGCUGAUGGGGCAGAAUUUCAGUCUGAGGCUUGUGAGUCAGACCGAGGGCAAGAUUGAAAUGUUAUUAACAUGAGAAAAAUCUUUUGAACAUGAAGUCAUCAUGCUUGAGGUUACUUUGAACUUUCCUCAUAGUCUCUUUUCUGAUUUGUACUAGAAUCAACAUGCUUCAGCUUUAUGCUAAGAAGCAUGGUGGAGUAGAAGUGGACAUGAAUUUGCAAUUGUGUGAUAGCCAGAGACUUUCAGAUUGUAGAAAUGCUGUGCUGUGAUAAAGAUUUACUUGGCUUGUGGGCUAUUUUUUAAUGGCUUUUGGGUUCAGGAAUUUUGAAAAAGUCAGAUUCUUUGUAAUUUAAAUUUCCUUCUAAGCGAGGAAGUACACUAUGUUAUUAGUUUUAAAUAUAUAUAUACUUAGAAGUUAAAAUUGUGUAAUUAUCUUAAUGCUCCAGAGCUUCUUUUGUGACUAAACAUUGGAACUUAUUCUGUUGAAUGCAGGGAAUUUGUCCAGAAAAGCUUAAGGAAAUUUAGCCUACACAGGGAAAUUUGCUAGAUGUAUAAAUAAAGGUUUAACUAAAAAGGUGAUGCACACACAAAUUUACUUUAUCUGUGAAAGAUCAUGUUUGAGCUUUGACUCUUUGUCCUCUUUUUAGGACUAAGUAAUAAUUGUAGGUUUUUGUAGUUGAUUUAUAGUAGUGGGUUGUGUGCAGGAUGACUGUAAGUAAUGGAUCUCAUUUCAAUUGCACAAGGACAGGUUGUUUUUAAUUCACAAAAAUUAUUAUCAUUAUUAAUUAUUAUUAUUAUUAAUUAUUAUUAUUAUUAUUUUUUGGUACUGGGGAUUGAACUCAGGUCCUUGCGCUUGCGCAGCAGGCAGCGAAACCACUGAGCUAAAUCCCUGGUGCCCCAAAAUUAUUUUUUGUAAGUGUAAAUGUCCCUAGAGAUGGUAUACCUGGAAUCUUAAAAUAAAAAUAAAAAUAAUAAAGUAUGCUGUCCUAUCUUAGAAGGAAGACUUGUCCCAUUGGAAAAUAACUUUAAAUAACUCAAGGUUUAGAAUUUUUACUUGAAAUAAUUUGUAAAUCAUGGCAAUGGCUUUUAAUCCUUAAGGAGAAUUCUUCUUUAUUUCUGAGAAGACUGGGUAAAUGUUUAUAAGAACAUAGCCUUGAGUAUUUUAAGUGUAGCAAACCAACAAUAAAGACAGUUUUAUGCAUGAUAACAUACAUUCAGAGUUGCUAGGUACAAAUACCUUGUUCCUUUUUUGGAAGAGAAUUCCUGUGUUUGUGUGUGUGUGCAUGUGCGCAUGUAUGCAUGCGCAUGCAUGUGGAUGUGUGCGUGUGCGAGCAUGUAUGUGUGUGUGUGUUUGUGUGUGUGUGUGUUUUAAACUCUUAAACAUAACAGAUCUUUGGGGCCAGAAUGGUAAACUUGUAUUGUUACUUACACCGCAUACCCAGAUUAAAGAAAGCAACAGUGUAUUUCGGCCUUAACAAGUUAGAUGCGUUAACUUACUAAAGAACCUGAGUAAUACAACCUUAAUUUUUAUCAUAGGAAAUAUGAAUCCUGUUUGAUAGAGUGGAUAUGGAGUCAGGUUUGAUAACUGUUUUGACUCAGAGACUUUAUAAUUUGACAUGCUUUCCUUGUAUGCCUGUAGAUUUUUCCAGUUAUUUUGGACUUCUUUCAUUAUUUACUAUGAGCUCAGCACUCAUGUACACAUAGCCAACAAAAGCAAUAGUUAGAUGGCUUCAUGUACAGAAUAUGUUUUAUUGAACAAAAAGGGAAAAAUUCCUCUUGUUUGUAAUUAGCCCAUAAUCAGUAAGCCCUUCUAUUGGCUUUCAUCCAUUUAAAUAUAUUUUUUCCUUUGUAACUUCACACACGCCAAGCAUAUAAAUGCAUUUUUGAAUUUAAAACAGAUCGUUUUAGUAAAACUGGAAACUCAACGUUUCAUUUACUUGUAAAGUUUCUAAUCAUUCCCACUUGCUGGUCUUUGAGCCCUUUCUCAGCACCAGGAGGCCAGGGUUCAUAUAUACAGCUCCCUUUCUGGGGUCCUGACUGCUCACUGCUGCAGAGCGUCUGGGGGGGACUCUGUAACGUGCACUUGAAGCUGUGGUCUCAGCCCUAGUCUGUGCUGGGUGGUUUGGAAGGCGAUAGAGCUUCCUGGCGCCUCACCUGCAGGCUGGCUCACAGGAGAAAUGUGCACAGGGAGCCAGGUGGAGGCUGUGUGGAUGCGUCUUUUCGCUGAUGCUCGUAGAGGGUGGUUGGCACUUCUUCAUUUUGGGUCAUUGAACUUUUCCAGAAUGUUCUCUUGGGCUCUCCAGACAUGGUAUCACAGCAUGACAUUGUAUGUAUAGAUAUUUCUCUGGGGAGGAGUUUGUAGCUUUCGUCAGAUCCUCAAAGAGUUCUCUGCUCUCGAACAAUCUGUAAGAACCACACUCAUUUAGAAUUGAGAGAUUUGGACAUCUUCUGAGGAAAAUGAGUAAAAGAAAUACUCAUAAAGGCUGAGUUACAGAAAACAACAUUUUUUUUUUCUGUACUGGGGAUCAAACUCAAGUUCUUGCGCUUGCACAACAGGCGGCGAAACCACUGAGCUAAAUCCCCCAGCCCCAGAAAACAACAUUUUUUAAUCUAUCAAACAUAACCAUGACAUGGCUGCAUGUUGAACUAUAUUAAGUCAACCUUGCAAGCAUACCUGGUCCAUGCUCAAAAUGUUUUAUUUUGAAAUAAUGGAAAUAAUGUGUGGGAACUUGUAGCAUCCAGGUUUGGAGGGAUACGUACCCACAGCCUUGUUGAUGAUAGCACUGAAUUUUUAUCUGUGUUAGAAAUUGCUCAGCAUGAGACAAAGGAGGUGCAUUUGGGGACACAUAUGUGAUUGAGUGAAGACAAAUAGCAAUCUUGAGAGCCCAGUCUUUUGCUUAGCAUUUGUAUCAAAAGGUGUACAGAGCAGGAAUGGUUUGGAAGCGAGAAGCUGGUUAUCCUGGGGUGUGCUAAGCACAAGUUGCAUAUUCCUGUACAUCUGCACAACAUUUGACAGUCUGCAAAACAAGCUUGAUAAGGACAUUGUGUCUGGGUUCUAGCUGUUACUCUGCGAGCACAAUUUCUGGCCUGUACAAUAGCCAAAGAAUGAUUUUGUUGAAUUAAGUUACUUCGAUUGUUUCUCAUGGCAGCCUUCCAGAUAGAGCAGAUUGUAUCAUUUUUGCUUACAGGGUAUAAGGAGCCACUACCUACCUAAGGUCACAUGGCCCAUAGGUAAAGGAUUUAGGGCUCUCCUUUGCAUGCUGUAGCUCAGCCCAACUAAUAAAGAUGCCAUAGUUUGAUCAAUUAAGUUUUAAUGCAGGAGAGUUGGGGAGAGGCUAUAAACCUGCAAUAUCCUCAGAAAUACUAGUAACAUGGUGGACUUAACAACAGAGAAAGAUCUUAAGCCAGUACAUCUGUAUGGUGCUAUCAUGUCAGCUUUUCACAAUUUGGUGGAAGACUACAAAAAUAAUUGAUUUCUCCCCCCCCCCCCGCCCGCCAAUCCCCACUUCGAAUUGAACCCAUGGUUUUUGCAGUGAGCUACAUCCCCAGUGCUUUUUGUUUUUUAUUUUGAUACCGGCUCUUUGUAAGUCGCUAAGUUGGCCAGGGGAUAUAAUAAGAAACAAGAUGAUCUAAGUUCCUGUUGUCAGAGUGGACCUUUUCUGAGGGGUGACAAAUGACAAAAAAUCAAGUAAGAUUAGGGGAAAGAGUGAUGUUGGGACUGGGAAUUUAUUUACUUGGUGGAGUCAGAGAAAAUCUCUCGUGGGAUAGACUUCUUGAGGUGGUGAAUCAGGGGAGGGUUGUGUCCUCUUGUCUCUUACAAGAGCCCUGGUCAUUGGACUUAGGGUCUACCUGGGUAAAUCCAGGAUGAUCUCGCCUAGAGGUCCUUAAUUACCUCUGCAGUGAUCCCCUUUUUACUAUAAGGUCAUAUUCACAAAUUCUGGGCUAUAAACACAAUUUUGGGAGAAGCCACCUUUCAACACAUUAGAGGAAACACCGAAAGGUUUUAAGUAGGAAGAAUGGUAGCAUCCACUCUGUUUUAAAAAGAUCACUCUGAUGCUGUGUUGAGAAUGGUUACAGGUGAACCUCAACUGUAGGACUCAAGGAGACCAUCUGGGGGCUGUGGGAAUAACCCAGCUGAGAUGUGGGGGAGGAGAGAUGGACAGAGGCGGAUUUCAGUCUGUGUUACAGCUGAGGAUGGAUUAGAAGUAGCAGGUAAGGAAAAGAAAAAUCCAGAGUGCUUGCUAGGUGGAUAGUAGUGCCCUUCACUGAAAAGGAAAAGACUGGUUUAGGGAUAGGCUGGGACAGUGCUGGUGACAUCUGGAUGAACUUUGAGAAGUGGAGAUGUUAGACCUUAAUUUAGAUACACCGCUCUGUAGCCCAGUGGAUGGAUAAGCUUGAGUGCUGUUGCACUAGAGAGAGUGAUACUUAAAGCCGUGGGGCUGGACAUGUGCAUCUAAGCAGACAGGGUGAUGCAGGGGUCUUCACAGGGGUGAAGACAUGAUUCAGUCCUCCAGGACUAUGGAGGUCACCGUGCUGGUGUCCAUUGGUUUCAGUCUCAUCCCGAGCCCCUGAUGUAAAUGUCAGAGCCUAACACAGAGAGGAAGGUGGAAUCCAGGCCAUCAGGAGAGCCUGUCUCUGUUGUCGUGGGCUAUCACAAAGGCUACUGUGUCGUUGACUUUCAUUUUGUAAUUGUCAUUGGUUUCUUUAUAAUCUUUCAUUCUAUGCCCGACAUGCCUGAUUGGCAGAUUUGCUGUCUGAUUUUUUUAGUUUUAGAUUAUGUGCUUUUUCUUCAAGCCAUCUUCAUUUAUUAACCUACAUUCAUUUUUAAUUUUAAUGCACCAAUCAAUAAUUAUUGCACUUGACAGUUUUUGACAGUCUGCUGCUACAUUUAGCUGCUUAGCAUGAAUUCAAAAGGUGAUCUAUCAAUUUGUACAAAUGAAGCCAAGUUCUUUCUUCCUGUGUUUUGAGGAGAUGUUGAAAAAAAUGCGUGUUUACUGUGCCCUGGGGAAUUUUUGAUGUAGAAUGCAUAAUAGUUCUUUAUAUAAGAAAAUAGAGGACUAUAAAGUAGUUAGUAAGAAAAUUUCUGUUAUGUAGCAAUUUACUUAUACAUCCAUUUGAAAGGUCAGAUUUCUUUUCAUUGGGAUUGAUAUUGUGAAGAUCACCUUUUGUCAUUAGACAGUAUUUACUGAGUCCUGAUUUUUUUGUACAACAUUGUUCUGGUGUUACGGGAAAUAAAUAUAGAGUCCCCAAGUAAUCUAGUGGUCAGAGAAACAAACCCAGUCCCAAGAUUAUGAUGGGUAGAAAAACUGAGAAAAUGACAAAUUUAUCUCGAAAACUGAGAAAAUAACACAUUUAUCUCGCUGUACAUCUGCACUUAACAGUAAUCCUAGUGGAAAUUCCAAAUGAAAAAUUAGGAGUCAAGGAUGGUCCUCGCUGGAGACUAAACAGCAGGGAGAAAUGUUCUUUCUCACUAAAAUCACAGUGUCAACAUUCUUGGCAGUUCAGAUGGUCUCUGCUGUAGCUGUUGGUUUACAUUUUGAUAAUUUACCAAAGAGCGUAUAAUAUUUAAUUCCGGGCUGGAUUGUGCAACUGAACAUAGCCUUCCCAGCGAAGGGCGUGGCAGAUGUGAGAGUGAGCCUUCUCCUUGGGAACUAGAAGCUCAUUCACUCCACUGGCUCUUCUCUGGACGUGAGAUGACCCACAGGUUACAAGUUCUGGAAGAGAAGCAGAAAAGCAGAUCAUGUCAUUGCUAACGGGAAAGGAGGGGCUUCAUUUUCCUGCUCCCUUGCGGUUAAUUUUGUUUUCCUUCUUGGUCUGGGGUACUUUGCCUUGCAUUUCCUGGCAGGAUUUAGGGAAGAGGCACUGACCUUCUGGUGCACUCUUUUAUUCUACCCUAGGCAUAUUAUUAAUAGGCACCAUUUUUUUCUCUUUUUUCAUUUUGUGGCUAAGAAUUUUCUGACUUCUAUACUGAGCCUUUGCGUUUCAGCUUAAUAGAGUGAGAGUUAGCAUGUUUUGGGCAACGCUCACCCUAGCCCAUGAUUUAGUUUAAUUUUUUUAAAUACCCAAACUGUUUAUCGAACUUUGUUGUGGCAACUAUGCCAGUCACUAAUUGGCGCUAUGGUUAUUUGGCUGUUGCUCUUAGUUACUUUGCUCUGGCUUUUGGAUUACUUAAUAAAAUCGGGUGCCAGUUUCCCUCUUACAUAUGCAUACAGAGACAAAUGGAAACAUCAUCCUGAAGCAUCCAACUCUUGGGCUUCAUAAUCCUAAGAAGCACUUGGAAUCGGGUAAAAAUGAGUAGAUCCAGAAGAGGGGUGAGUCAUGAAGUCAGAGAGGGCUGGCUGGAUUCGCACACACCAGCCCCACCGCCCACAGCCCCUGCUUUGGAGACCAGUGAUGGCCUCAGGUCUGUGUUCAGGACUUGUCCUGCUGACUCAGAGAGCUGUGCAGUACCUGGGCCUGGCUUUACCCCGUUAUGCCAGUGUGUUAAUUCACAGCGGAAAAUAUCGCUAACAAACUCUCAAGCCCCCAUGAUCAGCACAUUGUCUCUCUCUGCCAAGCUACAUGGGAAUGUAAGUCAUAAUUGGAAGCCGCUUUAUUGAUUUGUUUUGAGAAAUUGCUGCUGUUUGGCUGCCAGUAUCAAUAAUAGUCACAGUGGACAUGUUCCCUGAGAAAGAUCCGUAUGGAGCCAGGUGGUUGCUUGGUGCACAAGGAAUCAGCACAAGGGUGUGGGGUGCACUGACUGUGAGCCAGUCAUAGCCCCUCUGACAUAGGGGGCUGCUCUGGUCAUCUCAGGAGAAGGAUGGCUUUUUCCAGGAGGACCUCAGCAUUUCAGUCAUUGACUACAACUCCCUCCAGUUAUCUCUUGAGGGAAGCCUUGCCAGCAAAGCUACCUUCUUCCCCUAACUGUCUUGACACUGCCUACAUUGGAUUUAAUGAUUCUAUCCUGUAAUCCCUGUCUGACCCUCUUUGGAGGAUAUCUUCUUUUCUUAAAUAUAUAAAUAUAUUUCAUCCAGUGCUGGUAGGGUUAGGGGUGGUAGUGGUGCUGGAAAUUAUCUUUCAUCAGUUGACUUUGUAUGUCCACAUUCUACUCCACUGAAUUUCAUUCUUACAUUCAACCUUUCAGUAGGCAGUCUCUCUUCCAUUUCCAAGUUCCUGUGGGAAAGUGGUAAUCCUCACUGAACUCUGGAUAUGCCCCUUGGAGGCUUCGGAGUGGAUGUCUGAUUAUACCUUCAUAUCAAGCUCUGUGAGCUGCAUAGUAACAUGGAUGUGUCUGUCUUCAUCAGCAGUAGACCACCUCCAUUGGACAAAUCCAAACUACUACCCCUUUUUGCAAAUAAAGUUUUAUUGGAACACAACCACAUUUAUUUGAUGUCUAUAGCUAUUUUCAUGUGACAUUGACAAAAUUGAUUUGCUUGUUUUGUAGUAGGCCAAUAAAGCCUAGGAUAUUUUCUUUCUGGUCCUUAUCAACAAAUGCUUGCCAACCCUGGUCUAUCUAUACCUUUAGAAGUCAUGAAGCUGCAGGAGAGAAAAGCAGAAGUUCCCCAUCUCCUGCUCCAACUCACUAAACAAAUGGAGGAAAAAGAGAAGGAAUGCAACUUGCCCAAGUUCACAGAGCUGUUCUCACCACGUGGGCGCAUGCAGGGGUACACUGCGGAGGUGCGGACCCUCACCUGAGGCUGCAGGACCACCGGUCCAGAAGCCCGGAUGGUGAGUCUGCUCUCGGGUCUGUUACUUCCUUUUCCAAUUGACUAAGCUAUUAACCUCCCUGACUCCAGCUUCUUCAUUGUGAGUGAGGGAUAAUCAUAUCCGUUCUGACUACCUCCUUUGGAUAUGCAUUUGGAAUGGGCUAUAAAGUGCUGUGUGUAGGGGUUGUUUUUCUUUUUCUUUCCUUUCCCUUCCUUCCUUCCUUCCUGUCUGUCUUUCUUUCUUUAAUUUUGUUUGCAGUACUGGUGACAUUAAGCUGGAUCCCCAGACCUUUUUAUUUUUUUAAAGACAGGGGUCUUGCUGACUUGCCAAGGCUGGACUCGAACUUGUGACCUGCCUCAGCCUCCAGUAGCUAGGAUUACGGACAUGUGCCAUUGUGUCCUGCAGCAGAGUUGUUAUUAGGGUGGUGAUGGGAAAGUGAAACAGGCUUUCUGGACCUUGGGACUGGGAAGCUGACACUG